GCCACGUACCUAGAGUCCCAUUAACUCUGGAGGCUGAAGUGGGAGGAGCACUUGAGCCUGGAGUUCUGGUCUGUAGUGUGCUAUGAUCAUUAGGUAUCUGCACUAAGUUUGGCAUCAAUAUAACCUCUUGGGAGCAAGGGACCACUAGGUUUCCUAAAGUGGGGUGAACCAACCCAAGUCAGAAACUGGAGCAAGUCAGAACACCCCUGCUGAUCAAUAGUGGGAUUACACAUGUGAAUAACCCCUGCACUAAAGCCUGGACAACAUAAUGAGACUCUGUCUCUU
This is a non-coding RNA of Otolemur garnettii (small-eared galago), 285 nucleotides long. NCBI's taxonomy places the organism in Eukaryota, Metazoa, Chordata, Mammalia, Primates, Galagidae. The record is from Rfam.